Molecule: transfer RNA, 74 nt
Filed under: Acestrorhynchus sp. NM-2010
Lineage: Eukaryota; Metazoa; Chordata; Actinopteri; Characiformes; Acestrorhynchidae
Description: tRNA-Lys
Rfam family: tRNA
About the family: Transfer RNA (tRNA) molecules are approximately 80 nucleotides in length. Their secondary structure includes four short double-helical elements and three loops (D, anti-codon, and T loops).
Source: RNAcentral
CAUUGGAAGGCUAAAUAGGGUCAAGCGUUAGCCUUUUAAGCUAAAAUUUGGUGCCUCCCAACCACCUCCAAUGG